AACGCAUAUUGCACUCUUUGGCAUUCCGAAGAGUAUGUCUGUUUCAGUAUCAAAAGCAUCUCGAGCUCUACACCUUGUGUGUAGAGAGUCGGUCAUGGCUAUCGUAGAUUUAUCUACUUGGCUUAAAUUCAAUCGUGGCCAGUAUCUCAAAGAUAGAGGCGUCAUAGUUGGCUCUUCGAGUUCAUCUUUCGCUUUCUAUUGAGUAAUGGUCACGUAAAACUCUCUUUCUCAUACUUGAUCUGAAAUCAGGCAAGACUACCCGCUGAACUUAA
This 272-nucleotide unclassified non-coding RNA is filed under the name uncultured fungus. Its description in RNAcentral is "partial contains 5.8S ribosomal RNA, internal transcribed spacer 2, and large subunit ribosomal RNA". The record is from RNAcentral. Lineage: Eukaryota; Fungi.